Molecule: non-coding RNA, 73 nt
Organism: Halocaridina rubra (Hawaiian volcano shrimp)
Lineage: Eukaryota; Metazoa; Arthropoda; Malacostraca; Decapoda; Atyidae
Source: the annotation of a GenBank genome assembly
UCUUCUGUAGUGUAGUUGGUAGCGCAUUGGCUUAGUAAUUAAAAGUCCUAGGUUCAAGUCCCGGUGGGGGUAA